Molecule: ribosomal RNA, 727 nt
Filed under: Ostreopsis sp. s0806
Lineage: Eukaryota; Dinophyceae; Peridiniales; Ostreopsidaceae
Description: eukaryotic LSU rRNA
Rfam family: Eukaryotic large subunit ribosomal RNA
Source: RNAcentral
ACAGCUGCUAGCCAUUCAUAUGAACAGCGGCUGUCCUGCACAGCAAUGACUGCUAAGUAUGGAAUGUUUGAUGUGAGCUUCCUUCCACACUGAACAAUUGAUUCAGAACUGAAGCGCAAAAGGGGAAUCCGACUGUUUAAUUAAAACAAAGCAUUGUGAUGGCAUUUGCAUGUGCUGAUGCAUUGUGAUUUCUGCCCAGUGCUYUGAAUGUCAAAGUGAUGAAAUUCAAACAAGCGCGGGUAAACGGCGGGAGUAACUAUGACUCUCUUAAGGUAGCCAAAUGCCUCGUCAUCUAAUUAGUGACGCGCAUGAAUGGAUUAACGAGAUUCCCACUGUCCUUACUUUCAAUUUAGCGAAACCACAGCCAAGGGAACGGGCUUGGGUUAAUCAGCGGGGAAAGAAGACCCUGUUGAGCUUGACUCUAGUCUGAUAUUGUGAAAUGACUCAGGAGGUGUAGAAUAAGUGGGAGUAUCCUUGCAAUCAUGAAAUACCACUACUCUUGAUGUUAUUUUACUUAUUCUGUGAAGCUUGUCCUUGCACUUGCCUGUUGUUGUUUAUAAGCCAUUAUGUAUUGGUGUACUUGUGUGGAAUACUGCGUCAGGUUGGGAGUUUGGCUGGGGCGGCACAUCUGUUAAAUGAUAACGCAGGUGUCCUAAGGUGAGCUCAAUAARAACAGAAAUCUUAUGUARACUAAAAGGGGAAAAGCUUGYUUGAUUUUCAUUUUCAG